Molecule: ribosomal RNA, 445 nt
Filed under: uncultured bacterium
Lineage: Bacteria
Description: bacterial SSU rRNA
Rfam family: Bacterial small subunit ribosomal RNA
Source: RNAcentral
UCCAGACUCCUACGGGAGGCAGCAGUGGGGAAUAUUGCACAAUGGGGGGAACCCUGAUGCAGCGACGCCGCGUGGGUGAAGGAGUACUUCGGUACGUAAAGCCCUAUCAGCAGGAAAGAAAAUGACGGUACCUGACUAAGAAGCCCCGGCUAACUACGUGCCAGCAGCCGCGGUAAUACGUAGGGGGCAAGCGUUAUCCGGAUUUACUGGGUGUAAAGGGAGCGUAGACGGCAGUGCAAGUCCGGAGUGAAAGCCCGGGGCUCAACCCUGGGACUGCUCUGGAAACUGUAAAGCUGGGGUGCGGGAGGGGCAGGCGGAAUUCCUGGUGUAGCGGUGAAAUGCGUAGAUAUCAGGAGGAACACCGGCGGCGAAGGCGGCCUGCUGGACCGUAACUGACGUUGAGGCUCGAAAGCGUGGGGAGCAAACAGGAUUAGAUACCCGCGUA